GACGGAGGGUGCGAGCGUUGUUCGGAUUGACUGGGCGUAAAGGGCGUGUAGGCGGUUGGUCAAGUCUGGUGUGAAAGCCCGGGGCUCAACUCCGGAAGUGCACUGGAAACUAACCAGCUAGAGCGCGAGAGAGGAGGGUGGAAUUCCUGGUGUAGCGGUGAAAUGCGUAGAUAUCAGGAGGAACACCGGCGGCGAAGGCGGCCCUCUGGCUCGUUGCUGACGCUGAAACGCGAAAGCGUGGGGAGCAAACAGG
Molecule: ribosomal RNA, 253 nt
Filed under: uncultured bacterium
Lineage: Bacteria
Description: partial 16S ribosomal RNA
Rfam family: Bacterial small subunit ribosomal RNA
Source: RNAcentral